UGCUUGCCCCCGUAAGACGGCCUGAUGUGCACACCUGCCCACAGUCCUGUGCCCAGGUUAGGAGGUCAGGUGAGGAUGGCGCUCAGGUGAGGUUCCACAUUAACUCGUCGUUCCUAGACUUGAAAGUUUCAAUCCGGGGAAAGCCGGGGCAGAAGCAGUAAACGCCUCCUUCGUGUUGCUCCCCUGCUGCAUGGAGAUGACCCACAGAUGGUCCUCGUCUCCUGCCCACACCAGGAAGGUCUUACUGUCCUUUUGCCAGAUGCAACGGGCUUCGAGCCAGGCCAUGCCCGAGACCAGCAACAGUGGCGGCACCGGCUCGUGGAAGAGGAAGUGGCUGUCAAUGAGCUGCUGUUGCUCCUCCGCAUCCGUCCAGCUCUUAUCCGGGCCCUCCAGGUCGCGGUCCAGGCUCGAGGGCAUCCACCGCGGGUCCCAGCGGAGGCAAAAGCCACGUCCUUGUGCACGGACCUGAGCUUCCCCUGGAGAUUGGGAGAAAUGAGAUGCAGCCUUCACCUCUACACCUGUCACUGUUAACAUUCAGGACACAAGGCACCUAUCAAUGACAUUUUACAUUUUUGGUGGGAGAAGAGGAACAGUAAGAGGAUUAGCAGAUCUUUAAGAUAUAAACCUUCCCACUUAUCCUAGAAAAUAGAUCCUAGGGCGGGCGUGGUGGUUCAUACCUGUAAUCCCAGCACUUUGGGAGGCCGAGGCAGGUGGAUCAUCUGAGGUCAGGAGUUCGAGACCACCCUGGCCAACAUGAUGAAACUCUGUCUCUACUAAAAAUACAAAAAUUAGCUGGGCGUUGUGGCACAUGCCUGUAAUCCCAGCUACUGGGGAGGCUGAAGCAGGAGAAUAACUUAAACCCGGGAGGCAGAGGUUGCAGUGAGCCGAGAUCAUGCCACUGCAUGCCAGCCUGGGCAACAGAGCAAGACUCCAUCUCAAAAGAGAAAAGAAAAGAAAUCCUGAGUUAUAAAUUAGAGGGCUUUGUUUCUUUCUUGGUUUUUUUUUUGUUUGUUUUUGUUUUUUCUAGAAGCUUUGGGAAUCAUCACAAUGCUACAAAUGUGGUCAUGGCUUGUUUAUUCCUUUAUUUUUUUUUAACAAAUUUAAUAUAUUUGCACAAAGGAAUCAUUGUCCAAUAACAAUAACAAAAAUGAAUACAAAUAACUGUCCAGCUGGGAGCAGUGGACUCACAUCUGUAAACCUAACACUUUGGGAGGCCGAGGCAGGAGAAUCGCUUGAGCCCAAGAAUUUAAGACCAGCCUGGGAAACAUAAUGAGG
Molecule: long non-coding RNA, 1275 nt
Filed under: Callithrix jacchus (white-tufted-ear marmoset)
Lineage: Eukaryota; Metazoa; Chordata; Mammalia; Primates; Cebidae
Description: lncRNA (ENSCJAG00000078186.1)
Source: RNAcentral